CUGGACAUCCCAAGACACAGCUGAGACUGAAGCACCUCUUCUAGAUGAGGAUGCUGCUUUGGACAGGCACUGCUUGCACCUGCCUUGAUGUCUAAAUAUGAACCAUCACCUACUGCUCUCAGUCUGUCUGGUGGAUACAAUUUACCUCAGCUUCCAGUUCUGUGUGGUGAGGAGGCUGCAGCAGAACCGAGCAAGGUGUGCCUGAUGAACCCAGUGUAACCAGCAGAUCCCUGGGUGCCUGGGAAUCCGGUAUGGACAGACCUGACCUGUGGUAGAUCCACCUGUGCUGUUGGAAUACUUACACUGGCACACCAACCUUUUCUUUCAGGUGAUUAAUGAGCAUGUUUGCUUUUGGGCUUCAUGCUGUGGCAAUGCAUCCUUUCUCUCCUCACAUCUUUCCUACGUGGCUCUUUCUGUGUUGCUUGGAAGCUGCUUGGGUUUCAAACUGAGGUCAGCAUUUUCUUGUUUGCUUGUGUCUCAGAGGUGGCGUCGCAUCUGGGAGAAGUGAAAACCUUUCUUCCUACAUAAUUAAAAAAUGCUGCUGUUUGCAGCCUCUGUAGGUCCUCAGGGUGUGUGGACAGUCACCAAGGUCUUUGACACCCUUGCAAAAUCUCACCGGGUCAGUGCUGGGGAGCUGGAUGGAGGAAUCUUGCACCACCAUGCUUGUGGCAGCUGUGCUCUGCAAACCUCUGCAUUGUCCAUGCUCCCUGUGCUGGUGUUGCCUGGAAGCUUUCCUUUGCAGCUCAGUCAGUUUUGAAAAUGGGAAGGAAGAGAUACUGAACGUGCACUGCUGUGCCUCUUCUGUCCCAGAGCGUCCAAAGGAUGUUCUCUGGAUGCAAGACUAGUUCUUGAGCUGAGACUAAACCUCACUGGAGCAAUAGCCAAAACCACUGAGAACUUCUUCCACUAUGCCUUUGACCUACAGCAUUUUCUAUUGUUCAGAGUGCAAAAGAAAGCUGUGCCAAGGUGUAGGAUACAUCUAUUUCCUCUUCUAAAAUUAAAGGAAAAUGGCCUUAAGGGACUGAAUUGUGGUGGAACACACCUUGUUUCCUUCUUGAUGUCUUGGCUCAGAAAGGGGUUUGCUUACUGCUUACUCUUUGCCUUUGUGUUUAAAAACACCAGAGAAAGUAAACAAAAAAAAAUACUGAGCAAGGAGCAGCUGAGUGCUCCUAGCUCACACACCAGCCAGAUUGUCAUGGGUCAUCCUGAGCUGUAGAUGGGAUCCAAACCUUUUAACCUGCCAUGAAGAUAUGGAUGUGUUGAACAAGAUCAGAGGAGGGCCACAAAGAUGAUCGGAGGGCUGGAGCAUCUCUCCUAAGAGGACAGGAUGAGAGAGUGGGGUUGUUCAGCCUGGAGGAGGCUUCAGGGAGACCUUAGAAAGACUUGAUUUUAUCUGAAGGAAGCCUACAUGAAAGUUCAAGUUUUUACAAGGGCAUGGAGUGAUGGGACAAGAUGGAAUGACUUUAAGCUUAAGGAGCAUAGGUUUUUAUUAGAUACUAGGAAGAAAUUCUCCCCUGUGAGGAUGGCGAGACCCUGGCACAGUAUGCCAGAGAAGCUGUGGCUGCCCCAUCCCUGGAUGGAAGUGUCCAAGGCCAGGGUGGACAGAGCUUGGUGCAACCUGGGAUGGGGGCAAAUGUUCCUGUUAAUGGCAGGGGUGGAAUGAGAUGAGUUUUAAAGUCCCUUCGAACCCAAACCAUUCUGUGAUUCUUGAGUUGCUCCCAUCAGAGCACUGGCUGUGGGUUGUGUGCCGCUGACAGGAGGUGUUUGCUGUGGAAUUUGGUGGCACCUUUCUGGAGAAGGGAUGUGUUUGCUUAUUUGCCAUGGCAUUUGAUGGCACCUCUCUGGUGCAAAGAUGUGUUUGGUGUGGCUUUUGGUGGCAUCUCUGGAGCAGGGAUGUUCAAAAACCCUCCAGGGGCCUCACGCUGUCAAAAGCAGCAGCAACCCCACCAUGCAGGAGACAGGGACAGCAGGGAACAGUUUGUGCCACCUCAUCCUGCUCUCCCCUCCCCUCCUGGUUAGGGAUGACCACUUGAAAAUACAGUCCUGCUAUGCUGGAAGAGAGGGGCUGGGUUUCUGGGCUGCUUUGCAAAGAUGAAUAUUCUUCAAAACCUCUUGCUCUCACAGUCUUUGAUCUGGCCUGUUAAGCGGGAUAAAAAGAUGCAUCAGUCAUCACAGCAACUCAUUUUUGGUUUUUCUUCUUUCUUCUACGUCCACCUCAAGAGAAGGAAGGAGAACCAGGUACACACAUCCAGUCAUUAGAGGAGUACUUGGCUUAUCUCUCAGGACAGAAAGCAAAGUAAAUAUUUCAAGGGACAGCCUUAACUUUUCUGAACAACACUUCCCAGGGAAGAUCAAGGCACUGCUCAUACGUGUUUGGGCAGGGGGAGCCUGCAGGUUUCAUUUCCUGACUGAGAACAGCUGCUGUGUGCUAUACUCUUAGGUACCAUGGCUCUUAAAAAGAAAUAGCCUUGUAGCAAUGAUUGCACCAACAAAUUUGGCAUUCCUGCUUUUAUAUUAAAUUUUUUUAUUGAGAUGAUGUAAUUACAAGCAUUUUAAAAAUUAUUUGCAACUCACUGGCCCUGAGAAUAGGCUUGUUUUUGUUUUGUUACAUUCAUUUGAUUCAGUCCCUUAACCCCACACCUUAAAAAAACAAAAGCCAUCAUCAAUAAAAACACUAGAAUUUUAUUUUUUUUAAAAAAAGACCUCAAACUCUGGAUUCGCGUACAGUUGCAGUCUGACAAAAAAGAUCUGGAGAAUGCAUAAGUGGAAAUAUGGGGAGGAUGGCAGCAACUUAGUGUUCACAGAAAGGGCCCCAGUAGUGUUCUCUGGAUGGAGAGGCAGUCAACAGGUUUCAAACUUUAAUCAAGGAAGUAUUCUGCUGUGGAACUGCAGCAUGUCCUACCUGACUGACCUGUGGCUUGCUGAGGCUUGCAGCAAGCUGAUGACAAUGAAGGUCCCACUUAACCUUUGCAUAACCACUUAACACUCAGAACCUUUGCUGGGUGCUGAGGCUGGCAGGGAUCUGGCCAAACCCCCUGUGCUCAGGCAGGGCCAACCAGGUGCAGUUGCCCAGGACCAUGUCCAGGUGACUUUUGUGUAUCUCCAAGGAUGAAACGCUUUCUCCCUUUCCCCCACUUGCUCUGGUGGCAAAGGCAGAAAGUUUGGCUGUUUUGCUGCUGGCAAAUUCUACACUGGGAAAUCAGAAGCUGGGGGAGGGGAGGAAGGCAGGUGUCAGUGUUGGUGGAGACAGUGUUACCUCUGCUAGCCCUGGCAGGCAGCCACGCAUUCCUAUGGCUCAAGAUGUCUUUGCAUUCCCAUGGAUCUGCCAGUGGAUGAGAGGUCAAUGGGAAUCUCCCUCCUGCAGCUGCUCUGGCCUGCCAUUACUUUAUUUUUAGUCACACCUAAUAAACUCACUUCAAGACCCCAAGAGCGGUUCAAAUCCUGCAGUUCCCACAACAGGCCACAAGGCCCUGCAGUCCUGGCAGCUCCAGUGUCACCCACACCAUUCCCUUUGGCACCCGGAGACCUGGCAGGAGACAGGAGGGGCCUCUGUGGGACUGGCCUGUUCCAAGGUCAAAGGCUACUUUCAUUCCAACUAGCAUCAGCCUUGAGAGAACUCCUUCUCUGUGGCUGUGAUGACAUUGUCUUAAGAUGUCCUUUAUGUGUGAACUGGGAAGAGUUUCCAACAGCCACAAACAUUUUUUUCCCCUUUGACUUAGAUUCUGCAAGUGCAAGUGAUUGCAUUUCUUUGUAAAGGUGAACUUUUCCACUAUAAACUUUCCCUACAAUGCGUGAUUUUCCUGUCUUACCCAGUGCUGAGGAUGGACUUAAUUUGGUAGAUAAUGGUGAAAAAUGGGUGGAUUGUCUCUGCUUCUCUGUAUUCUGCAGUGUGCACCUUGGCCAUGACAAAAAGCUGUGACUCAUCAGAGCACUUUAUGCAGAAAGUCUCUAUUGUUUUUUUCUUGUCCCUCACUGUCUUGUAACAGCAGGCUGAAGAAAAUAAUGCAGUUAUGCAGUUGUCUAGACCACAGCAGUAAAGAGGAUGAAUCAUCCUCUGCAAAAACCUUCUCUUGCUACCACUGGACACCCAAGGAUCCAGCUAGAGCCCUUCUUUACAUUGGUACUUCUGCUCACCCUCCAUCUGUCACCACUUCACUCCAGCUGCUGAGACCUGGCUGCAACUUGGGGGCCCUUGAGCAACGUGGCAGAGUAAGGUCCCUGUGGGCUCACGGGACCUUAGGAUUCAGAUCUGUGACUACUGAAGUCCCACAGUGCCUCCCAAUCUCACACCUCAUGAGCUCCAGUGACUUCAGAGGCACGACAGAGACAGGUGACACA
Passer domesticus (house sparrow) is the source of this 4338-nucleotide long non-coding RNA. RefSeq lists it as uncharacterized. The record is from RefSeq and is a predicted model, not a curated record. The transcript has 2 exons. NCBI's taxonomy places the organism in Eukaryota, Metazoa, Chordata, Aves, Passeriformes, Passeridae.